Molecule: RNA transcript, 4221 nt
Organism: Telopea speciosissima
Lineage: Eukaryota; Viridiplantae; Streptophyta; Magnoliopsida; Proteales; Proteaceae
Gene name: DEAD-box ATP-dependent RNA helicase 42
Exons: 4
Source: RefSeq, a predicted model, not a curated record
CUCAGUGUUUAAAGAUUUCUCGGCGACUCUCAUCUCUGCGGCGAGUUUGUCUAGUAGGGAUUGAAGUGAACUCGCAUUCUCUUCUGGAGUUUUGCAGUUCAAAACCAAUUCUCAAAUUGCGGGAAUUUAAUUUCUAGGGUUUUAUUGCUUUAUCACUUCGAUCCCAUAGUUUUUGUUGAGUUAAUCUUAGUCGGAUGGAAGAAGUGAAACGCAAAUCCAGGAGAGAAGAUUCUGACAGGAAGGAGGAUUCCAAGAAGAGCGAUCGGGACCGGGAUCGUGACAGAGAGAAGGACAAAGAAAGGAAGGAAGACAAGUACAAAGAUAAGGAGAAGGUAAGGGAUCGUGAUUCCGAGAAGAAGGACCGAGAAAGUCGGCGCUCAGAGAGGGAGAGGAGCGUCGAUGACAGGCAUAGGGAGAAGUACAGGGACAAGUACAGGGAGAAGGAUAGAGGUCGGAAUCGAGAUGAGGAAAGGGAGAGGAUAAAAGAGAAGGUGAAAGAUAGAGAGAGGGAGAAAGAUCGAGAUGAUAGAGAGAGGGAGAGGGGAAGGGACAAAGAUAGGGAAAGCAGAGAGCGGGAGAGGGAACGGGAGAGAGAAAGGGAAGACAGAGACAGGGAGCGGGAGAGGGAAAGAGAAAGGGAGGACAGAGAGAAGGAGCGUGAGAAAGAGAAAGAGAGAGACCGAGAGAGGGAGCGGACAAGGGAGAGGGAAAGAGAAAGGGAAAGGGAGGAAAGAGAGCGGGAGAAGGAGGAGAGGGAAAGGGAGAGGACUAGGGAGAGGGAAAAGCGUAGGGAACUGGAUAGAGAUGAGGACAGAGAUGGUGAUGAUAGCAGGGACCAUGAAAGAAAGCGGUCUAGGAGGGAUGAUGAUUAUAGGGAGAGAGAACGGGAAAGGAGCAGCAGAUCAGACAGGCAUAGGGAUGACAGUGACGAUAGCCGAAGGAAAAGGAGUGAGGAUGAUUCUGAGAACAAAGAGAAGAGAAGUCGGGAAGAAGAUUUAGAGGAAGAACAGAGGAAACUUGAUGAGGAAAUGGACAAGAGGAGGAGGAGGGUUCAGGAAUGGCAGGAAUUGAAAAGGAAGAAGGAAGAAUCUGAGAGAGAAAAGCUGGGAGAAACAAACGUUGAAGAACCAAAAUCUGGUAAGAACUGGACCCUAGAAGGUGAGUCUGAUGACGAAGAUGCUGUUCCUACCGUCAAAUCAGAGAAGGAUACAGACAUGGACGAAGAUGGUAAGCCUGCUGGUGAAGGUGGAGAUGCUAUGAUGGUUGAUUCUGAAAAUGGAACUGCUGUAGCUGGUACUCAAAAUGGAAGUGAAGGAGCCAAUGGGGAGGAGGAAAUAGACCCAUUGGAUGCUUUCAUGAAUUCAAUGGUAAUACCUGAGGUCAAGAAGCUGAAUGGCUCUGAAAGUUCCUCUAAAGCGGAUGAUGAAAAGUCUGAUCCCAAGAAGGAUCAGAAAGAUGGGCAAAGUAAUGGGGUUCAAUCCAAGAAGGGUACAAAUAAAGCUAUGGGCCGAAUUAUCCCUGGUGAGGACUCUGAUUCUGAUUAUAGUGAUAUUGAGAAUGACGAAGCUCCAGUUGAAGAUGAAGAUGACGAUGAGUUCAUGAAAAGGGUGAAGAAGACUAAGGUUGAAAAAUUAUCUAUAGUCGACCACUCUAAGAUCCAAUAUCCCCCCUUCAGGAAAAAUUUCUAUAUUGAAGUGAAGGAGAUCUCAAAGAUGACAGCUGAGGAGGUUGCUGAUUACAGGAAACAACUGGAGUUGAAGAUUCAUGGGAAAGAUGUGCCAAAGCCUGUUAGGACAUGGAAUCAAACUGGAUUGACAAGUAAAAUACUAGAUACUAUUAAAAAACUGAACUAUGAUAAGCCGAUGCCCAUCCAAGCUCAGGCACUGCCAACAAUUAUGAGUGGUCGGGACUGCAUAGGUAUCGCAAAAACUGGUUCUGGCAAGACGCUGGGUUUUGUUUUGCCAAUGUUGAGGCAUAUCAAGGAUCAGCCACCUGUUGUUCCUGGAGACGGGCCUAUUGGGCUUAUAAUGGCUCCUACCAGAGAGCUUGUCCAGCAGAUCCACAGUGAUAUCAGGAAAUUUACUAAGAUGCUUGGUGUUAAUUGUGUCCCUGUAUAUGGUGGCUCUGGGGUUGCUCAGCAGAUAAGUGAGUUAAAGCGGGGUGCUGAGAUUGUUGUUUGUACUCCAGGUAGGAUGAUAGAUAUACUUUGUACCAGUAGUGGAAAGAUUACUAACCUUCGAAGGGUUACGUAUCUAGUUUUAGAUGAAGCAGAUAGAAUGUUUGACAUGGGUUUUGAACCUCAGAUCACUCGGAUUGUACAAAAUACCCGACCAGACCGACAGACUGUACUUUUUUCUGCUACUUUUCCUCGUCAGGUUGAGAUACUGGCCCGCAGAGUAUUAAAUAAGCCUGUUGAAAUUCAGGUUGGGGGAAGAAGUGUAGUGAACAAGGACAUAACACAGUUAGUUGAGAUGAGACAAGAGGGUGAGAGGUUCCUGAGACUGUUAGAACUACUGGGAGAAUGGUAUGAGAAAGGAAAGAUAUUGAUAUUUGUCCAGUCACAAGAAAAAUGUGAUUCUUUAUUUAGGGACUUGCUAAAGCAUGGUUACCCUUGCCUUUCGCUUCAUGGGGCUAAGGAUCAGACUGAUCGUGAGUCAACCAUUUCUGACUUCAAGAGCAAUGUUUGCAAUCUUUUGAUUGCAACUAGUAUUGCUGCUAGGGGUUUGGAUGUGAAGGAGCUUGAGCUGGUAAUCAAUUUUGAUGUCCCAAACCACUACGAAGACUAUGUUCAUCGUGUUGGUCGGACGGGGCGAGCUGGCCGGAAAGGCUGUGCUAUUACCUUUAUCUCUGAAGAGGAUGCAAGAUAUUCUCCAGAUCUUGUAAAAGCUUUGGAACUCUCGGAGCAGGCUGUUCCUGCUGAUCUGAAGGCUAUUGCUGAUGGAUUCAUGGCAAAAGUGAAUCAGGGACUUGAGCAAGCUCAUGGGACUGGUUAUGGGGGGAGUGGUUUCAAGUUCAAUGAAGAGGAAGAUGAAGUAAGGAAAGCAGCUAAGAAAGCACAGGCAAGAGAAUAUGGUUUCGAGGAAGACAAGUCAGAUUCAGACUCUGACGAUGAUGGGAUUCGGAAGGCCGGAGGUGAUAUCUCUCAGCAAGCACAAGCUGCACUUGCUGCCAUAAGUGCAGCUUCCAGGGUAAGUGUAGCUUCAAUGGCAACCCCGGUCUCAGCAGCCCCAUUGUUGCCAAAUGGAGGACUACAACCUGUGACUCUCCCUAGUGUCCUUGGUUUGGGUAUACCAGGCACUGCAGCAGUAGUACCUGGGGUGGCUCUGCCCAUUGGGCCAGGUGAUGGAGCAGCUCGAGCAGCGGCAAUAGCAGCUGCGAUGAAUCUGCAGCAUAAUCUUGCGAAAAUCCAGGCUGAUGCACUGCCUGAACACUAUGAAGCAGAGUUAGAGAUCAAUGAUUUCCCUCAGAAUGCUCGUUGGAAGGUGACCCACAAGGAAACUUUAGUUCCAAUCUCAGAAUGGACUGGAGCUGCUAUAACUACCAGGGGGCAAUAUUAUCCACCAGGUAAGGUUCCAGGACCUGGGGAGCGGAAGCUUUAUUUGUUCAUUGAAGGUCCUACUGAACAGUCUGUAAAGAGGGCAAAAGUAGAAGUGAAGCGUGUUCUGGAGGACAUUACGAAUCAGUCAUUGUCACUUCCUGGUACUGCCCAGCCGGGCAGGUACUCUGUCCUGUGAGAACCUGGUUUUGGCGCGACUAAGAGAUCUGGGCCUCUGCUUGUGUUUGCCAAGUACGUCUCAGUGCUUUGGUCACUCUUGGAAGCUUUUGAUGGGAUGGCGUUCACGGUCUGAUCCCAGAGGCCCAUUACUUACUUCAAUAGUACAUAUACCAGUGCUACGAGGCAUUCCCUUCAUCCUUAUUUUGAUUUACCCCUCUAUUAGACAUCAACUUAUGCCUUACUGCCUGUGUUGUACUUUCUAAUGUGAAGAUUCGUAAUGCACAACACCCUAGAGCUCUGUGCUGUGAUAGGCAACACAUGCUUUGCUGCUUCAGCACUGUUGAUAGGAAGGGAAGAUCACUUCUCUGUGAUUGGUGUGGCCACUGCAUAUAUGCUGUACAGGUGAUCUGGACUCAUUACCCUCAGUCUCAUAUACUUUGAUUGCACGCUUGAAUUGCUGGUUUCCUGACAUAAUAGGCUGUACCAGUGGAUCCAAACUGUGCUUU